RNAcentral lists this ribosomal RNA (2205 nucleotides) under Triticum aestivum (bread wheat). RNAcentral's name for it is "partial small subunit ribosomal RNA". Lineage: Eukaryota; Viridiplantae; Streptophyta; Magnoliopsida; Poales; Poaceae. The record is from RNAcentral.
UGUGCGGGUUUGGCUAUGCAUAGCGUCCUAUCGAGGCCUCUUUUUCGCUUCUGCUGUCGCGCCCGCUCGGGCUUCUAUAGCCAUGCGAGCGUGCGUUGAGAGUGUGACUGAAACGGCAAAGCUAAGUAAGUGAGCUCACUCAGCUGAGGAAAUAGCAGAAGGAGAGGAGAGGAGGUGCUCGAAGGAAAAGUUGGCGGUGGAAGGAGAGCGCCGGUUAAGAAGGUGAACAUGCCAACAUGGGGACGGCAGAGGAGGUGAGGUGGCGACGGGGGGGCGUCUACGGCGGGUUCCACAGGCGGCAGCGGCGGCCGCUCCGGGUGUGCGAGCGGGAGUGGUCAUUGCCCCUCGACAUGAGUACCCCCGCCCCGUGCAAGCCGGCGGAACCGUGGCCAGCGCUCCGCCUGCACGUGCACGGGUGGCGACAGCACGGGCGGCAGCGACGACGAGGACGACGCCCCUCCGUCGCCGGGUCCAAGUGGCGGCAGCGGCGGCCGCGCAUGGUGUCGGAGCGCGAGCUGCUACUUCCGAGUGAGACCAGUACCCCGAUGUUAUAGAUACCAGUCGAACCGAUACCCCUUCUCUUAAGGGAAAGAGGUACAAACCAGCUGCCAAAAGUUCUAAACCCAAGGGGACUUUGUGACGUCCUACUUCUUGUCUUGUGAGAACGUCCCUGAGGAAACUUCAACAGAAGGCACUUUCGACCCCCGUACUACAGUAAGCGUUAUCUGUCAGAACCCCGGGACACCUACACCCCCUUAACGGGGGUCGUCUGACUACUACCCCUCAAAACAUAUCGUCGAUGGAGUCGGGGUGACGGACACACCCUAAAGGUACCAGUGUGACACCAAUUCCAACGGACGCCAUUACUCGUACAACAUCGACGACAGUCACGACCUCUCUGUAUAUGUCCUCCACUGGAACAGACAAUAAGGACCCCAUUGUUGUUGGUACCCGUCAACCCAGAUCCACUGUUCCUUUCAUCCAGAGCGGGGCACGAAUAGAGUCUUAAACCACUUCCGAGAAGUACCCUCCACAUACUUUAACGUACGCCUCGAACCGUGUGACGACACGAGUGGUUAUUCUUCAGGAAACUAGUCCUAGAACUUAGAGCCACGACCUGUAAACCGUAACCACUGUUACCCGUCGAACCGGUACCUUGUUGACGGUGGUGGACGAGGGGCGUCGGACAACUGCCGAACGGGUGACCAAGGAAGGAGUAGAGAGAACUAACACCUAACAAGGUGUGCCGUCACCAGAGGAGGCUGCCUCUCCACACCACGACCCCUUACCUCUCUCCGGAACCUAACACGGGUCUACGAUCGAAAAGUCCUUACCUGCGUCCCCUACGAGACAUGGGGUAUUCCCAAGUCAGAGGACUCUGCUUACCCAAGUUCAAAGACCCCGGUCACGUCCAACGGACACCUCGACGGGUGUGACAAGAACAACGGCCACUGCCCAUGUCCUACACCCGUACCCCGGCUCCGGCGUCGCCGCACGAACCCUCUCUGGUCUGAUGACUGUCAAUGUGAGGUACGCAACACUACACCGGAGGAGAACUACUCUUGAAGGUUCUCUAAGUACCCCUGGUUCGCGUCCGCAGCUGUAGUUCUCGCUUACUAGCGUGAUCGUGGCUCGACCUCGACUUCAAUAGACGACGGAGUCUCCUCGAUGUCAAGGAAUCCAGUUUUGACUGUGAGUACCUCUCUAUACGGUUGUAUGAGGUGUAAAGUUAUAAGGCGUUCGGUUACCUGCUUGCCUGCGAAGGAGCGAGUGAAGUUCUCAGACGUCAGAAACUAUAGUCCUUCCUUAAACUCUUGUAGAACCUAAGCAGUCUAUGGCUACUUGAGCGAGCGAACCUCUACAAAAUGCCAUCGUACGAAAGACCACACUUCCUGUUCGAAGAGUUCUCUUUUCAAGUCCACUACCAGGUUCUUACGUAACAAAGUGAGAGACGUCCCUCCGUUUGGGGCGCACCAGUCACUCAACCUUCUGUCAACAAUAUUUGACGUAAAAGUGACAUGUCUUAGCUUGAAUAUAAUAUGUCAUACACAAUUUUAGCGUUAUUCGAGAGACACGUUUGGACAACAAAGUGGAUAAAACAGUUGAAAGAUGGCGUUGCAUCUGUUUAAUAAACCAUAUAGUGGAUAGUGACUACCAGUGAACCGACUGGUAAAAUACCCGUGCUAGACACGAUAGCAUAUUAAC